Molecule: small nuclear RNA, 161 nt
Filed under: Chelonoidis abingdonii (Abingdon island giant tortoise)
Lineage: Eukaryota; Metazoa; Chordata; Testudines; Testudinidae
Description: U1 spliceosomal RNA (ENSCABG00000016762.1)
Rfam family: U1 spliceosomal RNA
About the family: U1 is a small nuclear RNA (snRNA) component of the spliceosome (involved in pre-mRNA splicing). Its 5' end forms complementary base pairs with the 5' splice junction, thus defining the 5' donor site of an intron. There are significant differences in sequence and secondary structure between metazoan and yeast U1 snRNAs, the latter being much longer (568 nucleotides as compared to 164 nucleotides in human).
Source: Rfam by way of RNAcentral
AGACCUUGGCAGGGGAGAUACCAUGAUCACGAAGGUGGUUUUCCCAGGGUGAGGCUCAUCCAUUGCACUGCGGGUGUGCUGACCCCUGCAAUUUCCCCAAAUGCAGGAAACUCAACUGCAUAAUUUGUGGUAGUGGGGGACUGCGUUCGCGCUGUCCCCUG